UUGUGGCUCAGUGGUAGAGCGCUUGCCUAGCAUGCAUGAGGCACUGGGUUCGAUUCUCACACAUAAA
This 67-nucleotide transfer RNA is filed under the name Marmota monax (woodchuck). RNAcentral describes it as "tRNA.Ala". The stretch from base 2 to 61 matches the Rfam family "tRNA", at positions 6 to 65 of the family's 71-position model. Rfam says of the family: Transfer RNA (tRNA) molecules are approximately 80 nucleotides in length. Their secondary structure includes four short double-helical elements and three loops (D, anti-codon, and T loops). The record is from RNAcentral. Lineage: Eukaryota; Metazoa; Chordata; Mammalia; Rodentia; Sciuridae.